AUGAGCGCUGUUUCUGAAUCUGAGCGUCAACGGGACAAGACGACAAAGCGAUGUGGAUGCAAGGUGAAGCUGCGAUUAAAGGGGAAUGAGCAUGAUGAUACAGUAGUCAUUGUCGACAUCAAUUUUGAGCACAACCACCAACUAAUACAGAGCCAUACCAUGCUUGUGUUUCUUCAUUCCCACAAGUCAUUUGACCCCACUAUAUUGUAUUAUGUUAAGUUCCUCCAGUUCCAGAAUGUUCAGCACCAUACCAUGAUGUCUAUCCUAUAUGGAUCCCUCGGUGGCGGUCGGUUCUUGGCGUUGCACGGACGCGAUUUAAUCAACAGGAAGCUUCUUAACUCUAAGGAAGAUAGCAUCGAUGACGUCAAGAAGCUGUUGGGAUUCUUUGCUGAGAUGAAAGCAGUAAAUAAUGAAUUCUUCUUCGACUUCCAAAUUGAACAUCUUCUGGGCUAAUGCAAGCUACAAGGGCGCGAUGCGAUGACAUUUGACACCACUUAUAAGACAAAUCAGUACCUUAUGCCUUUGGGAGUAUUCGUAGGAGUAAACAAUCAUCUCCAGUCAACAAUAUUCGCGUGUGCCCUUGUAAGGGAUGAAUGUGAAGAAUCUUUUGCUUGGCUAUUCAGAACCUUCUUGGCAUGCAACAAUGGGAAGCAACCUACAAUAAUUUUAACAGACGAGUGCCCUUCGAUGACCCCUGCGACAAAACAAGUUUUCACCAGGUCCCUACACAAGUUUUGCUGAUGGCAUAUAACAAACAAGUACACCUCGCAUAUUUCAUACUUGUACAACUUGCACCCCACUUUGAAGGCUGAGUUUGAGGCAAACAUAAAUUGGCCCCUGAUGCCAAUUGAAUUUGAGACAGCUUGGCACCAGCUAAUUGAUAAAUACAAGCUUCAUGAUGAUCACAUGAUUCUGCACAUGUGGGCAGACAGGAAGGAAUGGAUAUCGGCUUACUUCAAAGAGGUUUUCUCUGCAAGGAUGACUUCAACUCAACGAAGUGAAAGUAUGAACUACAUACUCAAGAAAGGAUUUAUCAAACAGGACCAAAACCUGCACCGAUUUGGUGAGCAAGUAAACAACUGCAUAUUUUCAAGGAGGCAAGUUGAAAAUGCAUAG
Molecule: ribosomal RNA, 1116 nt
Filed under: Triticum aestivum (bread wheat)
Lineage: Eukaryota; Viridiplantae; Streptophyta; Magnoliopsida; Poales; Poaceae
Description: partial small subunit ribosomal RNA
Source: RNAcentral